UACAGAGGUGGCAAGCGUUGUUCGGAAUUACUGGGCGUAAAGGGCGCGUAGGCGGCCUUGUAAGUCCUGUGUGAAAUCCCCCGGCUCAACUGGGGAACUGCACAGGAGACUGCUUGGCUUGAGUUCGGGAGAGGGAAGCGGAAUUCCGGGUGUAGCGGUGAAAUGCGUAGAUAUCCGGAGGAACGCCGGUGGCGAAGGCGGCUUCCUGGACCGACACUGACGCUGAGGCGCGAAAGCCAGGGGAGCAAACGGG
RNAcentral lists this ribosomal RNA (253 nucleotides) under uncultured bacterium. Its description in RNAcentral is "partial 16S ribosomal RNA". It matches the Rfam family "Bacterial small subunit ribosomal RNA", at positions 524 to 776 of the family's 1533-position model. The record is from RNAcentral.